Molecule: ribosomal RNA, 407 nt
Filed under: uncultured bacterium
Lineage: Bacteria
Description: bacterial SSU rRNA
Rfam family: Bacterial small subunit ribosomal RNA
Source: RNAcentral
UGGGGAAUAUUGGGCAAUGGGCGCAAGCCUGACCCAGCAACGCCGCGUGAAGGAAGAAGGCUUUCGGGUUGUAAACUCCUUUUAUGAGGGACGAAGGAAGUGACGGUACCUCAUGAAUAAGCCACGGCUAACUACGUGCCAGCAGCCGCGGUAAUACGUAGGUGGCGAGCGUUAUCCGGAUUUACUGGGUGUAAAGGGCGUGUAGGCGGGCUUGCAAGUCAGAUGUGAAAACUAUGGGCUCAACCCAUAGCCUGCAUUUGAAACUGUAGGUCUUGAGUGAUGGAGAGGCAGGCGGAAUUCCGUGUGUAGCGGUGAAAUGCGUAGAUAUACGGAGGAACACCAGUGGCGAAGGCGGCCUGCUGGACAUUAACUGACGCUGAGGCGCGAAAGCGUGGGGAGCAAACAGG